GGGGCCGAAUGGAAUCGACAGGAAGUGUGAAUACUGUAUUUGCGUGUCGGGUGAUGAGUGUACAUCCGUAAUCAAAGCACUUAAAUUUUAAUUGGCGAAGAUUCUUACGCCAUGGCUGCUUAAUUUAACUUUUUAGUUAAAUACAGGUUUAAACGGUUGAGCGUCUAGCGAUGUUCCCGGGCCACAUCCUACCUUGCUUUCGCCUUUUGAGCGAGGAAUUAGGGUGUCGUAUAAAAGGCUAGCGCUGUGAGGUUACUAAGCAGUUGCGAAAUUUAGUGACUGGCAGAAAAGGUAGGUUGUUAUUUACCAGCCCUUCUGUAAGAUAUAAUAAAUAACUACACAUGUAGACGAUGCAAUGUUUCCUUAGCUGGACGCGGGUUCGAAUCCCGCCGGCUCCACAU
This 401-nucleotide transfer-messenger RNA is filed under the name Cyclobacteriaceae bacterium. It matches the Rfam family "transfer-messenger RNA". From Rfam's summary of the family: Bacterial tmRNA, also known as 10Sa RNA or SsrA, is named for its dual tRNA and mRNA-like properties. Its role is to liberate the mRNA from a stalled ribosome. To accomplish this part of the tmRNA is used as a reading frame that ends in a translation stop signal. The record is from RNAcentral. Lineage: Bacteria; Pseudomonadati; Bacteroidota; Cytophagia; Cytophagales; Cyclobacteriaceae.